UUUUUCUUUUUAUUGCAUGGAAAAACAAACAAACAAAAUGUGUGUGUGUAUUCAAAUAUUGAUUGCACAUGGUUGGUCAGAUAUAAGAAACAUUUGCUAGCUAACCAUUUCAAGCUGAUUUCUUUCAAUUAAUUAGAUAAAAAAAAUACUUGAAUCUUAACUAUAUUUCUACCAAUUCAUUUCUUUUUACGUGCCAAAAAAGAAAAAUUGAUUUGAACAAGGCUAUACCUCUUGAAUCCAGGAAAACUUAAUCGGGACUAAUUCUACAAAAUGAUUUAGCUAGUGAGUAAAACAAUUGAAAAAGCCCACUAACAGUAAUAUCACAUCCAAUCAGUUAAAAUGUUGUCUAACCAAAAUUCUCAAAUGAAAUAUCUUAAUUAAUUAUUAAUGGCUAAAAGCAUAAUAGAAUAUCGUUCGCCGUGAGACUCUUGAACAUAUAAUCAUAGUAAAUUCAUUAGUCGAACUUAAUAAAUUUUCAUGUAAGCAAAUUGUCGAACAUAACACGAAGAAAAAAC
This 515-nucleotide long non-coding RNA is filed under the name Olea europaea subsp. europaea. Lineage: Eukaryota; Viridiplantae; Streptophyta; Magnoliopsida; Lamiales; Oleaceae. The record is from RNAcentral.